Molecule: unclassified non-coding RNA, 520 nt
Filed under: uncultured Glomus
Lineage: Eukaryota; Fungi; Glomeromycota; Glomeromycetes; Glomerales; Glomeraceae
Also listed under: 1 other name
Description: SSU rRNA
Rfam family: Eukaryotic small subunit ribosomal RNA
Source: RNAcentral
AGCAGCCGCGGUAAUUCCAGCUCCAAUAGCGUAUAUUAAAGUUGUUGCAGUUAAAAAGCUCGUAGUUGAACUUCGGGGUUCACCCAUUGGUCAGGCUUAAUUGUCUGUACUGGUGAGAUGAGUCUCUACCUUCUGAGGAACUUUCAUGCCAUUUAUUUGGUGUGAUGGGAAAUCAGGACUGUUACUUUGAAAAAAUUAGAGUGUUUAAAGCAGGCUAACGUCUGAAUACAUUAGCAUGGAAUAAUGAAAUAGGACGGAUUGAUUCUAUUUCGUUGGUUUCUAGGGUCACCGUAAUGAUUAAUAGGGAUAGUUGGGGACAUUAGUAUUCAAUUGUCAGAGGUGAAAUUCUUGGAUUUAUUGAAGACUAACUACUGCGAAAGCAUUUGCCAAGGAUGUUUUCAUUAAUCAAGAACGAAAGUUAGGGGAUCGAAGACGAUCAGAUACCGUCGUAGUCUUAACCAUAAACUAUGCCGACUAGGGAUCGGACGCAGUUAAUUUUAUAAUGACGUGUUCGGCACCU